GGCAAAGAAAAGUAAGGGCAAACGGUGGAUGCCUAGGCACAAUUGAGCGAUGAAGGACGUGGUAAGCUGCGAAAAGCUACGGUAAGGAGCACACAUCCUUAGACCCGUAGAUAUCCGAAUGGGGCAACCCGGUCAUGGUAAUGCAUGAUCAUCCCGAGAGGGAGGCGCACCCGGGGAACUGAAACAUCUAAUUACCCGGAGGAAGAGAAAGUAAGAACGAUUCUCCAAGUAGCGGCGAGCGAACGGGGAAGAGCCUAAAAUCUAUGAAUGUGAUAGCUUACAGGCGUUAUUCAUAGGUGGUAGUGGGACCUUUCAUGUACAGCUGUAACUGUACGUAAGGAAUUAUAUAAUAUAGUCGAAUCAGUUGGGAAGCUGAACCAUAGUAGGUGACAGUCCUUUAGGCGAAAUAUUAUAUAUACUUAGAGAGGCACCCGAGUAAGACGGAGCACGUGGAAUUCUGUCUGAAUCCGGCUGGACCAUCAGCUAAGGCUAAAUAUCAAAUUGUGACCGAUAGUGAACCAGUACCGUGAGGGAAAGGUGAAAAGAACCCUUGACAGGGAGUGAAAUAGAACCUGAAACCGUUUGUUUACAAGCAGUUGGAGUCUCCAUUGUGGGACAACAGCGUGCCUUUUGCAUAAUGAGCCAGCGAGUUGUCGUUAGAUGCAAGGUUAAGUGCGUAACGUACGCAGCCGAAGCGAAAGCGAGUCUUAAUAGGGCGUUAAGUAUCUAGUGGCAGACCCGAAACCAGAUGAUCUAUCCAUGUCCAGGUUGAAGUUACUGUAAAAGGUAAUGGAGGACCGAACCAGGUGAAGUUAAAAAUUCAUUGGAUGAGGUGUGGAUAGGGGUGAAAGGCCAAUCAAAUCUGGAGAUAGCUGGU
Molecule: ribosomal RNA, 877 nt
Filed under: Clostridia bacterium
Lineage: Bacteria; Bacillati; Bacillota; Clostridia
Description: partial 23S ribosomal RNA
Rfam family: Bacterial large subunit ribosomal RNA
Source: RNAcentral